UUAAUAUAAUUAGAAAAUAUGAGUAAAGAAGCAAAACAAUUUGGUUGGUAAAGCAUGAAAACAAAGGACUGGAGAUGGAGAUAUUGCUAACAGACCUAAGAAACAGUAUUAUGUUAAAGCAAGUGCUAGGACUGCUAAGUGCAUGUAGAUAUCUGAAGGGGCUGAGGCCAGGAGCAUUGGACAACACGCCUAACGAUAGACGGCUAAAGUAGAGAAAAUUCAACCAUCCAACAUUUGUACUACAUUUGUGAACUACAUCAGAAAGAAAUGAGAGCGACAUGGCAAGAGGCACUACAUGAUAAAUAAAGUAAUACUCCAUUGUGUAGAUGUACCACAAUUUCUGCAUCCAUUCUUCAGUUGAGGGGCAUCUGGGCUGUUUCCAGCUUCUGGCUAUUACAAAUAAACCUGCUACAAACAUGGUUAAGGAUGGACAUCAGAAGAAGAAGAAAACAGGAAACAACCUAGGAACCUGCCACAGAGGGCCUCUGAAAGGCUCUGCCCUGCAGACUAUCAAGGCAGACACUGAGACUUACGGUCAACUGUUGGGCAGAGUGCAUGGACUCUUAUGUAAGAAGUGAGAAAUAGUAAGAUCUGGAAAGAACAGGAACCUCACAAGGAGAGCAACAGAACCAGAAAAUUUGAACACAGGGGUCUUCCCAGAGACUCAUACUCCAACCACGUACCAGGCAUGGAGAUAACCUAGAACCCCUGCACAGAUGUAGCCCAUGACAGUUUAGUUUCCAAGUGGGUUCCAUAGUAAUGGGAACAGGAACUGCCUCUGACAUAAUCUGAUUGGAUUUCUCUUUGAUCACCUUCCCCUGAGUGGGGAGUAGCCUUACCAGGCCACAGAAGAUGACAAUGCAGCUACACCUGAUGUGAUCUGAUAGACUAAGAUCAGAAAGAAGGAGAGGAGGACCCCCCCUAUCAGUGGACUUGGGGAGGGA
Molecule: long non-coding RNA, 944 nt
Organism: Meriones unguiculatus (Mongolian gerbil)
Lineage: Eukaryota; Metazoa; Chordata; Mammalia; Rodentia; Muridae
Exons: 3
Source: RefSeq, a predicted model, not a curated record